UUGAAUAAACCUGGUGGACUGUCGCUGGCUCCCAGGAGCAUGUGCACGUCUGCCAUCUUUAUCCAUCCACCUGUGCACACUAUGUAGUCCUCAAAGGUCAUUGAACGAGUAGCGGUCACUGUGACUGCCAAAGCGCCUUGUCCCUUGGGUCUAUGUCUUUUCAUACACCCCUUUGCAUGUCAAUAGAAUGUGAUUGUUGGGUCACUGUACCUAUAACAAAUGUAAUA
Molecule: unclassified non-coding RNA, 227 nt
Filed under: uncultured Basidiomycota
Lineage: Eukaryota; Fungi; Basidiomycota
Description: sequence contains ITS1
Source: RNAcentral